This 86-nucleotide transfer RNA is filed under the name Candidatus Dojkabacteria bacterium. Its description in RNAcentral is "tRNA-Leu". It matches the Rfam family "tRNA". From Rfam's summary of the family: Transfer RNA (tRNA) molecules are approximately 80 nucleotides in length. Their secondary structure includes four short double-helical elements and three loops (D, anti-codon, and T loops). Further hydrogen bonds mediate the characteristic L-shaped molecular structure. tRNAs have two regions of fundamental functional importance: the anti-codon, which is responsible for specific mRNA codon recognition, and the 3' end, to which the tRNAs corresponding amino acid is attached (by aminoacyl-tRNA synthetases). tRNAs cope with the degeneracy of the genetic code in two manners: having more than one tRNA (with a specific anti-codon) for a particular amino acid; and 'wobble' base-pairing, i.e. permitting non-standard base-pairing at the 3rd anti-codon position. The record is from RNAcentral.
GCCGAGAUGGUGGAACUGGUAGACACGUCGGACUCAAAAUCCGAUGCGAGUUAAAUCGCGUGGGGGUUCAACUCCCCCUCUCGGCA